This 3104-nucleotide long non-coding RNA is filed under the name Actinidia chinensis (golden kiwifruit). Its description in RNAcentral is "long non-coding RNA (ACHI_LNC006261)". The record is from RNAcentral. Lineage: Eukaryota; Viridiplantae; Streptophyta; Magnoliopsida; Ericales; Actinidiaceae.
AACAAGGGAGUGGAGGGGCAAAAGAGCAACCGGUUCAUCUAUAGAGAAGCAAUGUAGAACCCAACCUCUAUCUUUCAUUUUUAGUGUGUGUGAACCUAAAGAUCCAAAAUCAAUACUCCCAUGUUGGAACAACGUAGCAUUCUACACAUAUAACUUUCAAAUGUCUAAAAAAGAUAAAAGAAGCGAAUUCGAUUCUCUUUCUUUUUGUUUGUAUAUUGACUUCAGAGGUAAGUUAACUAUAUAAUGUUCAGGAAAACAAGGUCAAUCAAUGGCGAUGGCGCAUAAAAGUGAGGGUAUUCAUUUGAAUACAAUAAUUGUUGUAAAAUGUUAUAUAAAUUUUGGGAUUGGUGCACUAUUUUGAUUCCCCAACUCAUAUGGCUUAAAUACCUAGCCCGUUCGAUUUGAACGUCAAGCUGGCCCACUGUUCACAAUUUAACUCACAACCAGAAAAAGAAAUGUAAAUCUUGGAUCAAAUAAGACAACCCAAUUGGAUACUUCAAUUCUCAAAACAGUAACAAAACAAUAUAGUAUCUCUAUCAAAUAGUCUGUUGAAUUUGUAGACCUACCAAGUGUUCUUCUUUGUAUGUAAGAAUAUCUUUUGUUAAUUUUUUAAUAUAUAUCAAUCUAGAUAGAGUCCAAUGAGGUAUCGAAAGGUGAAAGAGCCAGAAAGACAAUAGUUUUUGUUACAUACACUGAAAGAGAUGAUUUUGAUAGUAUUGGUAAUGUGAAGAUUACACAAGGAAGAAUUGAAAACUCAUCAAUGGAAAUUGUAAUAUUUUUAAGUAUUUACACGUUUCUUGGCGAAUCAUAAAAUAUACUGGAGUUCCUUUUUGUAGAUAAUUUUUUAAGUAGAAUUGACAUAAUUUAACUAUGUUAAUGACUACCUUGACAAAAAUUUAUAAAACAGACACUAAGGUGAACGCUCCCUUGGGAAUUGGAAUUUUGAUAACAAAACUUAGGUCAUACACGCAAGAAAGGAUUUGGGUUGUUUUAAGUUUGGUGAAAUUGACUCACACAGGGAGACAACAUAAGAGUAAACUUACUAGAAGGUAAUUGUUCAUGUCCAUUGGAGGGAUACGGGGCAAACACGGAACCCCUAAUGAGCUUGACUGAACGAAAACCAAUGUUACUCUUCGCAAAUCUUUUAUUUUAUUCAUGGACUUUCGUUAUGGUCCAAAUUGGGUCAUUUACUUGCGACUGAGUUAGGAUACAAAACAAGGAAUGAGAAUUACUUUCGUGUAUAUCGUGGACUCACUUGCCUAACAGUAACACCACCUCUUGCAUCUACUUUUUCCAGGAAAUUUCUUGCUCAUGUAUUUCUUUAGUUGGAAAAGGGACUUCGUGCUCAAGACCACACUAUGCAAGUGAGCCUUUUCCUUUUUUAACUUUAUGUACAUUGACAACCAUCUUAUAGAGCAAUAGAGAGGUAAAUGUUCCUCAACCAAGACAACCAACCUUAGCCCACACGCUGGAGUCUGCAGGGUGCUUGCUAGUAGGGUGUUUCAAAGGCUCAUUCAUAACCCAACCUUCGUUGUAGUCUGAUUUUAUCCAUUCAAUUGAUGGGAUGAGUGGGCAUUACCUCUUUUUUCAUUGUUUUAAACAUUAGGACUCACUACAUUUGAAGGGUACGUCUCGUAGUACCGUGAGAUGCUAACCUCCCAAGGGGCCUAUAUGACAUUUGGUAGAUGUUAUUUAAUCAUGGCUUCAAGCGACAUGAAUUUCGUGGGAGCAAAAAUCUGCGCUUCCAUGUACCUGGGACACCUUAAUAUCACGGUAUGCCAUAUCCAAAAAAUUCAAUAAUCAUUCAACCCAACUAAAUCUUUUCCCAGCAAUGCUAUAUGGACCACAAUCGCAGUACUUAUAAUUUUAGGGGAAAAAAACAAUAGAAUAGAAUAGAAAGGGCAGGGGACAUUCAUUUAUACCUGGCCCUUUGCAACAAAUUCUCUCCAUCGAGAAGGCUUCCAGAUUGUUCGGGCUUAGUUCGGUAAGUGCUUUCUGCAUGAAGAUUAAGUAUGUAAUGGCCGUGAUCAAUAACAUGCGCAUAUAAUUAAGUUUAGGUGAUUAUAGAGUUAAGGCAGAUAAAAUAAACGCGAAAGUGGUUUUCAUAACCUUUGGAAAACUAUAUGUACCAUUCAUCAUGCUAUCACUAUAAUAAAGAAUUUGUUAGACACUACUUCACGUGGCAUCCAUAUUUAUGAGCAGAGAAAAUGGGGCUGCUAUGGAUGAGUUUUGGUAAAAUAUAUAUCAGGUACUUCAAGGCGUGGGCUGUCCGUGAACUUCAUAGAACCACUUUGGACAUCUCAAAAAACGAAAUGGAAGGCAUUUAUAAAGAUUUAUUUCUAUGCAAAUACAUCCAUUUGGGUCUUCUACGAUCCAAACUUAGAAUUGUGCCGAUUAAGAGAGUCAUUCUAUACAUGGAAGGGAAUGCAAAGAGAGGACUGAAACAACUUUGGGAAAAACAUAUUGGAAACAUUGAACUCUAAAACUCAAUCAAAAUAAACCCAUUUUUAGAGUAAUGGAAACAGUGGAACAACUUGAGGGAACGAUUGAGGUAUACCAAUAGAGAACUCACUGGCGAUUUUCACCGAACAGUUGGUGUCCUCGACUGAAAUCCCAGCCAAAUCCUUGCGUCAUCAAAUACCACAGCCUGAAGAAUUGGGUUGGGAUGUAAGAGAAGCUGAGGUCUGACCUUCUGAGAAGAUUCUUGCUGUUGAAUCUGUUGAGUAUGGUACCAAGAACACAAGCACAAUCCGUGGAUGAUUCUGGAUUUUAAGUUGUGGCAGAUGCAUAGGUUGCCAGGCAAUCAAUCGAAGCUUGUAUUUUGCUCAACAAUAGUAGCGUGCUGAAGAUGAUUGCCGACUGAAUCCGAGAGGCGAGCGAGUUGCUCAACAAAUGAAGGACGAGCGAGACAGUUUCGUCUUUCGAGCAAAAUUGGGAGGGCAUUUUCGUAAUCCCGAGCGUUAGAAGUUUAGAACACUUCGCACCUUUCAAGUUGUAUAGAUUUGAAAACAAGACCAUGCACAGUCCCCUACCUAUAUAAUAUGACAAUAAUAUUAUAGACACUAAUUUUCUUUUAUUAAAUAUACAUAUAAUAUCCUUAUUGU